ACCCAGUUGACGAGUUCGAAAUAGGAUGAAACGCGCGUCGUAGAU
Non-coding RNA from Schistosoma rodhaini, 45 nucleotides. The record is from Rfam. Lineage: Eukaryota; Metazoa; Platyhelminthes; Trematoda; Strigeidida; Schistosomatidae.